RNAcentral lists this ribosomal RNA (260 nucleotides) under Kryptoperidinium foliaceum. Its description in RNAcentral is "partial Bacterial large subunit ribosomal RNA". It matches the Rfam family "Bacterial large subunit ribosomal RNA", at positions 1603 to 1874 of the family's 2925-position model. The record is from RNAcentral. Lineage: Eukaryota; Dinophyceae; Peridiniales; Kryptoperidiniaceae.
GACCGCCUAGAAAAACCUCUAGGGAGCCAUGUUGGUAUCCGUACCAAAACUGACACAGGUAGGUAAGGUGAGAAUCCUAAGGCGCUCGAGAGAACUGCUGUUAAGGAACUCGGCAAAAUGACCCCGUAACUUCGGGAGAAGGGGUGCUGAUCUCCGGAUCAGCCGCAGUGAAUAGGCCCAAACAACUGUUUAUCAAAAACACAGGUAUCUGCAAAACCGUAAGAUGACGUAUAGGUGCUGACACCUGCCCGGUGCUGGAA